UACAGAGGGUGCAAGCGUUGUUCGGAAUUACUGGGCGUAAAGCGCGUGUAGGCGGCUUGAUAAGUCAGACGUGAAAUCCCUCGGCUUAACCGGGGAACUGCGUCUGAUACUGGAUGGCUUGAGUUCGGGAGAGGGAUGCGGAAUUCCAGGUGUAGCGGUGAAAUGCGUAGAUAUCUGGAGGAACACCGGUGGCGAAGGCGGCAUCCUGGACCGAUACUGACGCUGAGGAGCGAAAGCCAGGGGAGCAAACGGG
This 253-nucleotide ribosomal RNA is filed under the name uncultured bacterium. RNAcentral's name for it is "partial 16S ribosomal RNA". It matches the Rfam family "Bacterial small subunit ribosomal RNA", at positions 524 to 776 of the family's 1533-position model. The record is from RNAcentral.